RNAcentral lists this unclassified non-coding RNA (329 nucleotides) under soil metagenome. Its description in RNAcentral is "partial contains 5.8S ribosomal RNA, internal transcribed spacer 2, and large subunit ribosomal RNA". The stretch from base 1 to 120 matches the Rfam family "5.8S ribosomal RNA", at positions 35 to 154 of the family's 154-position model. The record is from RNAcentral.
GAUGAAGAACGUAGCGAAAUGCGAUAAGUAAUGUGAAUUGCAGAAUUCAGUGAAUCAUCGAAUCUUUGAACGCACAUUGCGCCCCCUGGUAUUCCGGGGGGCAUGCCUGUUCGGGCGUCAUUACAACCCUCAAGCUCUGCUUGGUAUUGGGCCCCGCCAGUUCUGGCGGGCCCUAAAGUCAGUGGCGGUGCCUUCCGGCUCCGAGCGUAGUAAUUCUUCUCGCUCUGGAGACCCGGUUGUGUGCUUGCCAACAACCCCCAAUUUUUUAAGGUUGACCUCGGAUCAGGUAGGGAUACCCGCUGAACUUAAGCAUAUCAAUAAGCGGAGGA